Molecule: ribosomal RNA, 305 nt
Filed under: uncultured bacterium
Lineage: Bacteria
Description: bacterial SSU rRNA
Rfam family: Bacterial small subunit ribosomal RNA
Source: RNAcentral
CUUCCUACGGGAGGCAGCAGUGGGGGAUAUUGCACAAUGGGGGGAACCCUGAUGCAGCGACGCCGCGUGGGUGAAGGAGCGUUUCGGCGCGUAAAGCCCUAUCGGCAGGGAAGAAGGAGGACGGUACCUGACUAAGAAGCCCCGGCUAACUACGUGCCAGCAGCCGCGGUAAUACGUAGGGGGCAAGCGUUAUCCGGAAUUAUUGGGUGUAAAGGGUGCGUAGACGGAAGAACAAGUUGGUUGUGAAAUCCCUCGGCUCAACUGAGGAACUGCAACCAAAACUAUUCUCCUUGAGUGUCGGCGAG